This 496-nucleotide ribosomal RNA is filed under the name uncultured bacterium. RNAcentral describes it as "partial 16S ribosomal RNA". It matches the Rfam family "Bacterial small subunit ribosomal RNA", at positions 28 to 507 of the family's 1533-position model. The record is from RNAcentral.
GAUGAACGCUGGCGGCGUGCCUAAUACAUGCAAGUCGAGCGAACAGAUAAGGAGCUUGCUCCUUUGACGUUAGCGGCGGACGGGUGAGUAACACGUGGGUAACCUACCUAUAAGACUGGAAUAACUCCGGAAACCGGGGCUAAUGCCGGAUAACAUUUAGAACCGCAUGGUUCUAAAGUGAAAGAUGGUUUUGCUAUCACUUAUAGAUGGACCCGCGCCGUAUUAGCUAGUUGGUAAGGUAACGGCUUACCAAGGCAACGAUACGUAGCCGACCUGAGAGGGUGAUCGGCCACACUGGAACUGAGACACGGUCCAGACUCCUACGGGAGGCAGCAGUAGGGAAUCUUCCGCAAUGGGCGAAAGCCUGACGGAGCAACGCCGCGUGAGUGAUGAAGGUCUUCGGAUCGUAAAACUCUGUUAUUAGGGAAGAACAAAUGUGUAAGUAACUGUGCACGUCUUGACGGUACCUAAUCAGAAAGCCACGGCUAACUACGUG